Gasterosteus aculeatus aculeatus (three-spined stickleback) is the source of this 8847-nucleotide long non-coding RNA. The record is from Ensembl. NCBI's taxonomy places the organism in Eukaryota, Metazoa, Chordata, Actinopteri, Perciformes, Gasterosteidae.
GCGUCACCGUGACGUCACAGUCUGACGCGGGGCCGGUUAACGGCAGACAGAAUACGUCGUUUUUUUAAACGUCUAUUUCAUAGAUAAUUGGCGGUGAGCGUAAGCUAGCAGCUCGGGUUUUGUAAGAUCCAGAACCAGGAAAGGCAGAUGUCUCCAUAUGCGAGAGAUGGUGCUCUGGAGAGCAGGCAGGGAGCAAAGACACCAAUGCAGGAGCUUUUCUCUGCUUGUUUCGAUGCCCAUCCUUGGCUCUGUGCCCAACGCCAGCAGACCUCUCGGGAACAACAGAAUCGUUUCUCCGGACCCAGAGACUCCCGGAACCGCAACUCCAACCAGUUGCUGGACAUCCAGGAGAAAGGAUCUCUCAGUUGCUGCCUGAACUGCAGGAGAGUCGUCUGGAUCUCCGGAGGAACAGAGUCGCAUGCAGCAAAACCAAAAGCAGCUUCAGAGCCAGACUCAGCAGGCCCAGGAGCUCCAGAGUCAGGUAUGGUGCUCCCUGCCAGGCCCGGGGUUUUCCAGCAGGCCCCAGAUUCAUCAUGCUUCAUGUGCUCAUCCCUUUGAUGCAUUUUGAGCAGAAUAGUAAUUUGAACACCAAAUCUGAAAUAUUUCCAUCCCUACGUGGUUUCAUAUUACUUAAAUGUAGACUUUCUGGUGCCAUCUGAUCUUGAAUAAUGCAACUUGUAGAUGCACGGUUCAAAUGUAUACAUGUAUUAAGAAGUACUAAAAAAGGCAAACUAAUUACUUUCAUUUGUGAUGCACAGAAAGGAAACAAAGUAUACUCAUGGGCAGGGUUUUCCACUGAGCUACCAGACAAACAUGUUCUGUAUGACAAACACAGUGACAAACCAAGGAUUCUGACAAUUGAUGACAUUUGAAGAAAAAUGCUGCUUGCAACCUUACUGGAGAAAAUAACACUGACCAAUCUGAAUCAGUGACUGUGAUGAUUGAUCGUGUCACCUGUUACCAAGCGUCUAGGCAGACUCUGUUUGUGUUGUUCAGUCAGAGCCUGAAUGUGUUGUCUCAGUCGCACUCGCUCUGUUGUGUUGCCUGGAACAUUCUCAGUGCUGCCUUAGCGCUACAUUACAUCUAGCCGAUGCUUUUAUCCACUGCUGACCCAAACAACAAGAUUCAAGAAAGCUACUUUUCCCCCAGCAGGUCAUCGAAUGUAACAAUUACCCACCAUUUAUUUAUAACCCAAAUUCCACAUGGUAACCGUUAACUCAUUGUCUCAUCCCCAUCUAGCUCAUGUGCAUUAUAUUUCACUAUUACGUUAUGGUUUGUCUGCUGUGUUGGAGCAUUAAUACGAGUGAGGUAAUUAUUAAUUUUGACUACAGCAUCGAAAGAACAAAUUCUCUUCAAAAAACAUUUAAAGAACAUCCUCUAAGGUUGUGUUGGUUGUUUGUCUUUUGCAAAGUAUGACUGUAUCUUGUCAUAUCGAGUACAUGCCAUAGAAUUUUUUUCACACUGAAUGUUUUCAGUAAUAUACAGUGGGUUUAUCUUUGCAUGCAUUCUGCAGCUGUGAAGAUUGUUUUUGCAAACCCUGUUCCCGGAAUGGGCCUCUUCCUACAUCUGUACUUGCAAUACAUGACAGCCAUAUGUUCAUAAAUCUGUUCCCCUUUUUUCAUCAGCUUCAAGCGUUCAACAAUUGAAGAUAAAGUGUUAAAUUGAAGGUGAUAAUGAAAGCUUCUCGCAUUGCACCACGUGACCUGUCUGGAGCUGUCCACAGUGCUGAAACUUUGUUGCUCUGCUAAAAAAUAACAUGUAAUUGUGAGAAAAGACAACUUGAGAACCAGCACCCCGGGUAUGGGACUGUGCUGCAGACUUAAUGUCUCGGGGGUGUCCAUAGCUCAUUAGAGGGACACCAGAACGUGUUUCCCUUUAGGACAGGUUUAGGAAAGCAAAGGUGGAUUUGUUUGCCUGCCAAGAAAAGGCACAAUGUGCACCGUGAUCCUCCACAAGCCCGCUUGACCUUACUUCACAAGGAGUGGUUGCAUUUUCAGAAUGACUCUCCCAUAGACUGCCAGGGAAGACUGAUUUAAAAAGUAAAAUGAAAAGAAAUAAAAAUAUUAGAGUUACAGCGUAACUAGCAAAUGCAGGUUUACUCACAAUAUUGCUACACAACAAAUGGCCACGGUUUUGAAUGAAUGAUAUAAUCUGUUAAAGCCACUCAGACACAGAGGUUCUGCCAGUGGUUUGUGUACAAGGACCUGGUCAGAUAUUCACUUGAAAUAUCAAUGGUCAUGACUGACCAUGGGGCUCGGGGCCUGAAUAUUUGAAAAUGUUAGAGAACCAUUGCGUACUUCUAAAUGUCUGUUGUAUUUUUUGAAAAUCUUUUUGUGGCUUCAGCCAUUGCUAUCUUAUUGUUCAGAAACUCAAGCAUACAGCCAUGUUAUCUUUAUUGAUGAAAAGCAGCGAGCAACAAAAUGCCCAACUUCUUUUUGUAUCUAUUUAUUUUGUAUAGUUUUCCAGUUUCUUACAUUUCCGGCCUGCUAGAUUUGUUUUUGUAAAUGCUUUCUUCCUGAGGAAAGGAACCACACAAGACACUAAUGAUGUCCUUCAUUUCAAAAUGAGGUUACAAAAUUAAAAAAUCUGAUAUACUGUAUGUGGAGUGUUUUCAUCACGUACUUUGGCCAUGGUACCGUUAUCAAUGCUCCUUUGUGUCUCAGGGGUUUUCUAGUUUGGAAUUCUCUUGGCGUAGUGUACCCCUUAAUCUGGAUUAUGAUCCAUUGCUUACUAACAGGUGUUUUAGCACAAUACGUGAUUUAGAAAUAGAUUAGGAUGAAGUCCUAUAUAAUACUAAGAAUAUGGCUUACACGUACAGUAAGUCAUGAAAACCAUUAAACUUAAAUUAUAUAUUAUAUUAUAUAUACUGUGUUCCAUCGGUGUUUCCAGAAAUACUCUAUGUAACCUAAAUCAAUGCCUAGAAAUGUUUAGUUAUUCAAAUAUAGUUACUAUUUACCUAAAGUAGUGACCUGUGUUUCUCAACUCCAGUUUGCGGCGAUACAUUAGUUUUUGCAUCCAUGCAUAUGUGUCUGUGUGCCUGUUUGUAUGUGAGGGAACAUGUGAAUUUCUGGUAUUUGUCUCCUCUGUCUCUUUGUCACAUUUGUUGACAUUGUCUCUCUCCUUGUGCAACACUGUGCUCUCUGCUUUAAUGACGCAUAUAUCUCCAGUCUCCAGUCAGUGGUUAAUCCCUGCAGCCCAUUCUAGACACCAGAGGAGAGAAGAGCAGAGCAGGGUGGGGGUUGUAGGGUAGACAGGUAGAAAAAGAUACAAUCAGCCUCAGAGAUACAAUAUACAGGCAAAUCGGGGGAACUAGCACAUGCAUGUGAAUCUUGCAGAUAUACAGUAUGUGUGAACAUAUUAACAGCAUAAACAACCACCAACAUGUUUUUGUCCUUUAUACAACAUUUUCAUUCAGCCCUUUAAAUUAAACUAAGUACUGACUUUCUAAAUUGAAAAUAUAUUUUCCCAUAAAUGUUUAUACCACUACAACGCAACGUGUGAAAAGCUUUGUCCGCAAAUGCGUAAAGUGUAAGAAUAUGGAAAAUGAACAUUGUAAAAGCAAAACACAGGAGCUACUUAUUGCUACGCGUUCCUGCUGCUACAUGCAGUUAUUCAACAUGGCUCCCUCAAUCAGCAGGUACAGUGCUUCUGACUGCUCACACCUCAGCCAACAGAAUCCAAAUAGUGAUUUUACAAUAUGUGGGUCUCUACCAGAUCAAUAAAGUCUCAGGUUAUUAUUGCAUUUUGUUCACAUUGUUAUUCCCUUUGUAGGAUCAGAAUGUUGUUGUUGAUUUAAUUGUUUGUAUCCAGUAGCGCUCAGCCCCUGGUUUACUGGGCUUUUUUACAAACUGGCAAACAUGUUCUGUUGAGGCAGCUGCUUAUUAGCAUUGCCAUGUGCUUAGUUAUACGUCUCAUUUUAAAGGGUUAUUCAAGAAACAGUAUAGAUAAAAGCGUGGAGUAGAAGAUUUAUUUGAGCAUGGCCCUUUCUAACCGUGGUUAUCUUGGGGUUAAUUUGAGCUUCUAGCAGACCCGCCGGUGUAAAUAAUCGCGAGUGUUAUGUGUCGAGGUGGUGUUGUCUGACCAGCGGCUGCUGUCAUCACGCCAGCCCCCUCCCAAGAACAUGACUUUUAGCACCAAAUGAUUGCUAAUAAAAACCAGUGAUUGAGAGGAGGACAGAGUGUGCACCAUAAACAGGCUGCAUUCUGCCCUUUAAUUUCGCCGUCGUCUGAGAAUUGGUUUUGCUGUGCUGCAGAGUAGGUUCCGCACACAGGCAGUUUAGUUGUCUGCCCCAGGACCGAAAUUGAAUUUAGCCGUGUGUUGUGAGUGUGUGUGAAUGUUUUUGUUUGUACGCGCAUGCGUCCAUCACUCUCACUGCCUUUGUCUGCGCCUGUGAGUCUGUCUGCAUGAGUCAGUUUGGAGUGCCUCUGUGUGCAGAAACUGGCUUCGCAUGAACUGCGUAUGUAAGAGUUUUUGCGGCAGUGGUUGUUGUGCAUGCCGUUUUUUAUACUUUCUUAUUCUCUAGUGACUUAAUCGUUUUACACUGCCAAGUUGCUUCAAUACCCUUUUACACUAUCUGUUUGUAUUGGGGCAUUUAUUUAGUUGGCACUGCUGUGUUGUUUCUGGAUUUGAAUACUUCUGUGUGGUGUAAUUUUACGAUUUAUGACCAUUGCGUUAACCCGUAAACCAAAGCCCCGGUUAGUGUUUGGAUCAUCAGCUUGUUUUAGAAAACUUUCUUUGGCAGUCAUUUUCUGUUUACUGUAUGCUGAUUGCAUUUUUUAUAAAGUAGAUGAAUUGUCCAACGGUGUUUUUUCAGGGUGGUUAGAUUGUGAGGGUUCUUUGUGUGGGUUUAUGGUGCUGGUUCUUGAUGAAAGCCUAGAGCAGACGCAUAUAUCAGAGCUCCAGCUCUAAUAAAAGGCCGGCAAGCUGUGCUGCUCUCCUUCUGGGAACAGCAUCGCUUUUUACUGCAUAUCUGACACCAAGAUAAAGUGUCCUACCAAUUAGAAAAAUAUUUGGCCACAUACCUAUCAACAGCCAUCUCAAGGUUUUAUUUUUUUAUGCCAUUUGAUCUGGAAUCCUGGCUAUUUUUACAGUGUGCUUUUCUUAUCAUGUCUUUGGUAUACACAUAUUAAUGUGCACCUUCCCACUGCACCAUAAUGCUUUAAUGAAAUAACAGAUUUUUUAUUUUUGGUGUCUCUUUUCUCAUUCAGAAAGGUAGGGCUGUGUGCACUUUGGCUUUGCUUUGGGAGUGAGACAGAAUGUGUUUUAGCAUUUUGCAUGAGAAGAUUCAUGCUGCUGGGUGUGUUUGUGUUGAUGUCAUUCUUGUUGCCCCUGUCAUCUGUCUGUGCCUCAUACAGAGAUGCAUAUAUACUUAACCGCAGAUUCUACUACCCAUCUCGGUUAAAGAAUACCGUAGGUUUUUUUUUUCUUCCCAGAGUGCAUUAAAAUGAAAUCCUCUCUUGUUGUUGUGAAAAGAAGCACACGUAAAAAAUAAUUGGCUGUAGGAGAGAACAAAGGGCUGGCUCCUCUCUCCUCCCUGCACACCCCAGCCAGGCAUUAAUAUCAAGCCUGCUGCAUUGUUCUGCUGUCUGCAGCCAUCCCCCUAGCCAGACACUCAGCUCUGGAGAAGUCACUUUUAAUGUCUGAUAAUCAAGGUGAAUUUUCAAAAAGCUGCCAUUUUCAAAUGAUGGUGUAUAUAUUAUGUGUAGAUGGCAGUUCAGGAGCAGAGAAGCUCAGCUUGGUGAGGAUGAGAGCCUCAGCCAUGCGAAGUGAAAGAGAGACACCCAACGGCCACUGAAGGAACUGCAGGCUGAUUUAAGCUCUGAUCAGAAUUCUUUGAAGGAUGGAGGACAGCUGGUUUAUCAGUGUCAUUGCUUAAAUGUGUGUGAUGAUUUCCUUUGCAGUUCAAAUGUAUUAUUUGCAGGGGUUAAUCUAGCCUCAGCUGAUUGUAACUAGCAUUGCAUUGUCUACUAUAAUAUGAAUGGUCCAAUAUUGCAGCAUCUGUAUGUGUCUCCUGUGGCUGUGGAGUGUCAUGGGAAUGUAUUUCUCGAGUACAGAUGCUGCCUGCUGUUGCCCCUUGCUAAAGCGAGCUCUUGUGCAGCGUUAUUGGGGAAUCAGGUAGCCAGCAGCAGAGCAGUGGGGCCCCAUUUCCCUGCUACAGGGCACAGACUCAUCUUCCCCUCGCUCCUCCCCUCUCCCCUCAUCCCCCAACACUAGGUAUGAUUAUUUCUCCUCUGCUCCACCGCACCAUUAUAUUCCAGGACCGCAGUUACCCCUCCCUAUUGUCAUUUUUCAUGGCAUGUUUUUACCCGUGUGCAGCACUGCACAUUUGCACUGUGUCUGUGCAAUAUGUUAAGAAGGUGAAUAUAUGCAGUGUGCAGAAUGUAAUAAGUAUAUAUUUUAUUUUCCUUGCCAGUGAUUUAGUGUUUUUUCCGGUGCUUGAGAAAAAAAGGGCAGUUCUAGCCAUGUAUCUUAACAAACAUGACUGCUGCGUAUGCACUCGCCUCCGAGCCUUUUUACUCACCGGGGAUACAAAAUUACACAUCUGAGGCAGACCGGUUGUUUUUCGUGCUGUGAGUGUUAAAAACCUUCUUGGUAUUUUAGGGUGUAGGCAUGGCUAACACAGAUUGGGUAAAGUUUUGGUUGUGUAUGUGUAUAUUGCUGCAUUACAAACAUUUUGAAUGGAUAGCAAUUUUAUAACUGACCAGGUGUUUGGACAGGGCCCUCAUUUGGUCUUUGUGCUUAUAAUACCCCUGACACAAUUGGCACAAAGGCAGGCAUACAUCCAUCAACCGCUCGAGUUGUUCACCACCUUCCGUCUGCCUCUCCACAUUGACCGCUGGUAGUCUGGUAGCAAAAAAGCCAGGCAUGAUUGAAGAUCCGAUGCAAAUACAUAAGAUGCACAAACACACAAAUGUCUGGCUGAAAUGUACAUUGUAGUCAUCAGUAUCAUUGAAAUGGGUUAUUUUCUAAGAGUGACGCAGAAUACAAGAUGACUUACUCUGUGAAGCAUCGUAGGACACAGACCUGCAAAACCAAUAAUCGCAAAGGAACAAGAUACAAGACCUGAUAUUUCUAUUUUCACCACGGCUGACCUCAAAUCCUAGCAUUUCCUCCGCUCUCACUUUGGACGAGUUGAAAAAUAUCCAAAAGGAGCAGGAAAUAAGAACUGGAAAUUCUGAGGCUACAACUAUAACAGAUUCAGGGAGUCUACUGCAGAAGUGAUGUAAAAAAUGAUCCAGUGUGCGUGAGUGUCAGUGAGUAUUUGAGGUUUAAGCUGUCUUGCUGUAAAAGACUUUGCAAUGCACUACUACUACUACUACUACUACUACAUUGCUAAAUUCAAGUACAUUUGCCAAUUUACACACCACUGUGUGGAUAUAAAUUAUUUCUGAUGUUCGUCUGCAUUAUCUUUAUGUAUUGCUAUACAGUAUUCACAUGUACAAACAUCUUGUAUAAAGACAACUCAAAAUAUUUACUGUGGUGGUUUUGUUUGUGAUCUUUAGUAUGGUGCAGCUUCUAUAUACAGACUGGCUGUGGGUCCCAUUGCAUAUCAUAUCACAUUAUAUCUUCUGUGAAGAAACGACUUUGAGUCUGCUGGCAGUCCAAUAUUAUAUUGUCAUAUCUGUCAGUGUAACGACUGCCAACAGGUAGGCUCAAAUUCCUUCUUUUUCUGUUGAUUCAUGGAAAAGUACAAAAUUGAAUGCAUCUCGGGGCUUACGGUGCUGGUUCAUGCUCCCCCACCAUGCACCUGAUACCUGGUACAGCGCCUUGAUGUAACACUGUUCAUAGAUAACUCUGUUUUGCCUUCAGUGUGAUUGCAUAAUAACCAAGCAUUCAAAUGUGUGAGUGCUUUAUUUGUUCCCCGGCGGUAGUCAUGAUAGCAUUAUUUUUCCCCGGUUGGUUGCAGGGCAUACUUUCAAAGCGUGGAUCUCAGCUGUGGUGCAGAAUAGAGAGAGAGAAAAGAGGAGGAGAGGCCCACGGGCAUUCUGUUCUGAACGGAUGCACAAGGAAUCUGGAGUGUGGAGUGGGAAGGAGCGAUUCGCCAGUCCAGUGUGGCACAGCGGGUCUGGCUCGGUGCCAGCCCGGGCACUGUGCCCACGAGGAGGCAGUGUGUGGCCAGCAUUGACUGAAGCUCAGAGAGAGUGAUGCACAGAUAGCAAGAGAGAGACUGCGAGGUAUGAAUGUGUCUGUGAGGGGCUGUCUGAGGUCUACGCUACAUUUGCAUGUGAAGCAGCCAGGUUGUGAUACAGCAGGAGAGCAGAGUGCUUCAGGAGAAAAUAAGGGGAGAUUUCCUGGGCAGUGUUAUGUCACCAGCUCUAUUACUGCUCUCAGGCCUAGUGUAUAGAAACAGCGCUGGUUUAACCUGCAGUUGAACUGGUAUCCUGUUCUAACCGUCGAGGAGUCGAUUGAAAAAAGGUUCAUGUAAUCAGGCAUUUGCUGUUUCUUCUAAUCAUGAUCUUGAUUUUUUACUGUUAAUUACUUUCUUUAUUGUUUCUUUAUGCACUGCCUGAGUAAAUGCUUUCUCCAUGAGACACAAUUGUUGUCUCUCUGCUUUGUAUGCAUUUAAGUAUUAUUUGCCCUUCUACAUACUAUCUGUCUCUGCCUUUCUUUCUCUGUUCUCCUGUUUGUAUCCCUAAAAUAUUCUGCACACCCCUCAGCAGUUCCGCAUGGCAGACAGCCCUAAUAUAAUCUGUGCGUCUGGAUUCUAAUUUAUACCGUCAGGAUAAAAUAAAUAGUCUGCAGUUAAUUAUGGGGAGCCAGCUCCUGGCUUUGCCUCUGAUUUAUGAAGUGCGCGUAGGCAUCCUGCAACGCAUUUUUCUUAAUUUAUUUUUAAUCUGUCUUUCAAUU